This 553-nucleotide ribosomal RNA is filed under the name uncultured archaeon. RNAcentral describes it as "bacterial SSU rRNA". It matches the Rfam family "Archaeal small subunit ribosomal RNA", at positions 326 to 879 of the family's 1478-position model. The record is from RNAcentral.
CGGGGUGCAGCAGGCGCGAAAACUUUACAAUGCCGGCAACGGCGAUAAGGGAACCUCGAGUGCCAGGUUACAAAUCUGGCUGUCGUGAUGCCUAAAAAGCAUUGCAUAGCAAGGGCCGGGCAAGACCGGUGCCAGCCGCCGCGGUAACACCGGCGGCUCGAGUGGUAACCGUUAUUAUCGGGUCUAAAGGGUCUGUAGCCGGCCGGAUAAGUCUCUUGGGAAAUCUGGCAGCUUAACUGUCAGGCUUUCAGGAGAUACUGUCUGGCUCGAGGCCGGGAGAGGUGAGAGGUACUUCAGGGGUAGGGGUGAAAUCUUGUAAUCCUUGAAGGACCACCAGUGGCGAAGGCGUCUCACCAGAACGGACCUGACGGCAAGGGACGAAAGCUAGGGGCACGAACCGGAUUAGAUACCCGGGUAGUCCUAGCCGUAAACAAUACUCGCUAGGUGUCGGCCACGGUGCGACCGUGGUCGGUGCCGUAGGGAAGCCGUGAAGCGAGCCACCUGGGAAGUACGGCCGCAAGGCUGAAACUUAAAGGAAUUGGCGGGGGAGCAC